CUCUUUAAGAACAGCCCACUUUAUAACAUUGCCCUGGGAUGAAGAGCAUCUGGCUGCAAUGGCGGAUACCUCUUGGGCUGUAAGAACUCUGUCCCACAUGUUAACACUCGUCAAGUUACCCUGGAAAGACUGAUCACAGACACAGCGUACGAGAUGGACGUAGCUCCUAUAAAUGCUUCAGACCAUUCGAGAAAACUUCAAAUGGAUGGAAUGGUUGUGUAAGACUGUGUGCAUUCCUAUGCAGGGAGACGAGUGAUGUCUUUAUGUGUAGAUAUAAACGACACACUUGAUACGUAUAGUUAAUGUGUGUACGAUGUAUUUAAUAGAUGUUUGUGUUUAUCAGCGGUUUGUCUUUGUGUGGAUAUUGAUACCUCCAGCAUAUGGUGGUUGUGUAGGAUGUAUGUGAUAGGAGUUUGAGUUCAUAGGGACGUUUUUGUUUGAAUAUUAAUCAAUCGCGUCCAGAAUCACGUGGUCGUAGAAUACAGUAAAUGUGUAAGUUUACAACAUGUUUUAUUGCGAACAUCUUUUGUAACUAGUGUAACAGCCAAAGAAUUGGCAAUGAAUUCUACACCAUAGUCAAAAUCAAAAUAUUCCUCCACUGAAGAGAAAAGAAAAGAAUGGCUAUUACAUUAUGCCAUUUUUAGUCGUUCAGUCUCAGUUGCAACUAUGAUUGCUAGACAUUAAUUUUAAAAUGAGGCCCGCUAAAAUGCAUUAACUUUAUGAAGGAACUGGCUGAUUGAACACAUUCCGGCAAUUGGAACCCCCCCCCCCCC
This is a long non-coding RNA of Actinia tenebrosa (Australian red waratah sea anemone), 773 nucleotides long. NCBI's taxonomy places the organism in Eukaryota, Metazoa, Cnidaria, Anthozoa, Actiniaria, Actiniidae. The record is from RefSeq and is a predicted model, not a curated record.